Long non-coding RNA from Alligator sinensis (Chinese alligator), 242 nucleotides. RefSeq lists it as uncharacterized. The record is from RefSeq and is a predicted model, not a curated record. NCBI's taxonomy places the organism in Eukaryota, Metazoa, Chordata, Crocodylia, Alligatoridae. The transcript is spliced from 3 exons.
GAUUCAAGGAGCUGUACCCAACCAUGGGCCUCACUGAAGACAUGCUGGUCAUCCUGCCCAAGUCAGAUCAGUGUGCCAAGGCCCUUGGUGUUUAAACGGGAGCCACCCCCAUCAGCUGCAGCUCCUCCAGCCUCCACGGAUGGAUCACAGAAGCAUCAGUGAUCUGAAAAUCCAGGCUGCAGCUUUGUGCCUCCUCACCCUCCUUCCCCACUUCCUUUGGAGGGAUUCGCUCCCUCUGACUG